This 784-nucleotide non-coding RNA is filed under the name Achatinella fulgens. Lineage: Eukaryota; Metazoa; Mollusca; Gastropoda; Stylommatophora; Achatinellidae. The record is from RNAcentral.
AAAUAAUAAUAAUUUAACUUAAAUAUAAAAAAUUACAUAAUUAAACUAUUAUUAUGGAAAUUAUAAUUUAUCCCAGUAAAAAAUAUUAAAAAAUAAUGAAAAUUAAUUUUAGAUUCUAAUUAAAUUUUUAGAUAAAUAAAGUGCCAGCAAUCGCGGUCAGACUUUAAUAAAAAUUUUAAAAUAUAAUUAAUAAUUUAUUUAUUUUACUUAAAAGAAAAUAAAAAACUUAUUUAAAAGUGAAAUUCAAAAUUUUUAAAAAUUUAUUUCUUCUUUAAAAAUAAUCAAAAUUUAAUAUAAAAACUAGGAUUAGAUACCCUACUAUUCUAAAUUCACACAAAAUUAUGGAGUAGUUCUAUAUAAAAUUAUAUAAACUCUAAAAGUUAUGGCGGCUAAAAAAAAAAAACAGGGGAACUUACCACAUCAAAGACAAUCAUCUAGAAAUCUAAUAUUUUUUUAAAAAAGUUUGUAUGCCGUCGUCAAAAAAUAAAAUUUAUUAUUUUAUUUAAAAAAUUAAAAUAUUUAAAGAAUUCUAAUGUCAGAUCAAGGUGCAGCCAAUAAAAAUGAGGUAGGCGAGUUACAAUAGUAAAGAACUUACCAUAAAUUAAUUAUUGAAUAAUUUUAUAAAGGUUGGACUUGAAUGUAAUUGUUAAAUAAGUAUUAAAUAUUGAAUAAUUUUUUUUUAGUGCACAAAUCGCCCGUCACUCUCGUUGAAAAUUAAAUUUCUUAAAAUUUUAAAUAAAAGGAGAUAAGUCGUAACAAAGUAAGAAUAGUGGAAACUGUUCUU